Molecule: transfer RNA, 128 nt
Filed under: Exutisphaerella laricina CBS 326.52
Lineage: Eukaryota; Fungi; Ascomycota; Dothideomycetes; Mycosphaerellales; Mycosphaerellaceae
Description: tRNA-Val (AAC) (tRNA-Val-AAC-2-1)
Source: RNAcentral
GCUCGGAUGGUGUAGUUGGUUGUACGUUCGCCCUUGUAUUGGAAUGCAAGCAAGCAGUUACUAAUAAUGAUAUAGAUCACGUCAGUCUAACACACUGAAGGUCCUGAGUUCAAGUCUCAGUCCGAGUA